GAAAUGCGAUAAGUAAUGUGAAUUGCAGAAUUCAGUGAAUCAUCGAAUCUUUGAACGCACAUUGCGCCCGCCAGUAUUCUGGCGGGCAUGCCUGUUCGAGCGUCAUUACAACCCUCAGGCCCCCGGGCCUGGCGUUGGGGAUCGGCGGAAGCCCCCUGCGGGCACAACGCCGUCCCCCAAAUACAGUGGCGGUCCCGCCGCAGCUUCCAUUGCGUAGUAGCUAACACCUCGCAACUGGAGAGCGGCGCGGCCACGCCGUAAAACACCCAACUUCUGAAUGUUGACCUCGAAUCAGGUAGGAAUAACCGCUGAACUUAAGC
This 320-nucleotide unclassified non-coding RNA is filed under the name plant metagenome. RNAcentral's name for it is "partial contains 5.8S ribosomal RNA, internal transcribed spacer 2, and large subunit ribosomal RNA". The stretch from base 1 to 105 matches the Rfam family "5.8S ribosomal RNA", at positions 50 to 154 of the family's 154-position model. The record is from RNAcentral.